GGAAGUGUGCCUGAAACUUAAGGAUAACUUUGAUAGAGUUAAAAAUAGAGGUUAAAGUCCCCUCAUUUCCCU
RNAcentral lists this transfer RNA (72 nucleotides) under Anolis alvarezdeltoroi (Alvarez del Toros anole). Its description in RNAcentral is "tRNA-Ile". It matches the Rfam family "tRNA". From Rfam's summary of the family: Transfer RNA (tRNA) molecules are approximately 80 nucleotides in length. Their secondary structure includes four short double-helical elements and three loops (D, anti-codon, and T loops). Further hydrogen bonds mediate the characteristic L-shaped molecular structure. tRNAs have two regions of fundamental functional importance: the anti-codon, which is responsible for specific mRNA codon recognition, and the 3' end, to which the tRNAs corresponding amino acid is attached (by aminoacyl-tRNA synthetases). tRNAs cope with the degeneracy of the genetic code in two manners: having more than one tRNA (with a specific anti-codon) for a particular amino acid; and 'wobble' base-pairing, i.e. permitting non-standard base-pairing at the 3rd anti-codon position. The record is from RNAcentral. Lineage: Eukaryota; Metazoa; Chordata; Lepidosauria; Squamata; Anolidae.